Molecule: ribosomal RNA, 468 nt
Filed under: uncultured bacterium
Lineage: Bacteria
Description: partial 16S ribosomal RNA
Rfam family: Bacterial small subunit ribosomal RNA
Source: RNAcentral
GACGAACGCUGGCGGCGUGCUUAACACAUGCAAGUCGAACGGAAAGGCCCUGCUCUUGUGGGUUGCUCGAGUGGCGAACGGGUGAGUAACACGUGAGUAACCUGCCCUUGACUUUGGGAUAACUUCAGGAAACUGGGGCUCAUACCGGAUAGGAGCUCCUGCUGCAUGGUGGGGGUUGGAAAGUUUCGGCGGUUGGGGAUGGACUCGCGGCUUAUCAGCUUGUUGGUGGGGUAGUGGCUUACCAAGGCUUUGACGGGUAGCCGGCCUGAGAGGGUGACCGGGCACAUUGGGACUGAGAUACGGACCAGACGCCUACGGGACGCAGCAGUGGGGAAUAUUGCACAAUGGGCGGGAGCCUGAGGCAGCAACGCCGCGUGCGGGAUGACGGCCUUCGGGUGGUAAACCGAUUUCGCCUGUGACGAAGAGUGAGUGACGGUAAUGGGUAAAGAAGCACCGGCUAACUACGUG